This is a small nuclear RNA of Chlorocebus sabaeus (green monkey), 104 nucleotides long. The record is from Ensembl. NCBI's taxonomy places the organism in Eukaryota, Metazoa, Chordata, Mammalia, Primates, Cercopithecidae.
AUGCUUGCUUUGUCAGCACAUAUACUAAAAUUGGAACAAUACAGAGAUUAGCCGGGGCCCUGUGCAAGGAUGACAUGAAAACUCGUGAAGUGUUUCAUAUUUAU